AUGAACGCUGGCGGCGUGCCUAAUACAUGCAAGUCGAGCGAACAGAUGAGGAGCUUGCUCCUCUGACGUUAGCGGCGGACGGGUGAGUAACACGUGGAUAACCUACCUAUAAGACUGGGAUAACUUCGGGAAACCGGAGCUAAUACCGGAUAAUAUAUUGAACCGCAUGGUUCAAUAGUGAAAGACGGUUUUGCUGUCACUUAUAGAUGGAUCCGCGCCGCAUUAGCUAGUUGGUAAGGUAACGGCUUACCAAGGCAACGAUGCGUAGCCGACCUGAGAGGGUGAUCGGCCACACUGGAACUGAGACACGGUCCAGACUCCUACGGGAGGCAGCAGUAGGGAAUCUUCCGCAACGGGCGAAAGCCUGACGGAGCAACGCCGCGUGAGUGAUGAAGGUCUUCGGAUCGUAAAACUCUGUUAUUAGGGAAGAACAAAUGUGUAAGUAACUAUGCACGUCUUGACGGUACCUAAUCAGAAAGCCACGGCUAACUACGUG
RNAcentral lists this ribosomal RNA (496 nucleotides) under uncultured bacterium. RNAcentral's name for it is "partial 16S ribosomal RNA". It matches the Rfam family "Bacterial small subunit ribosomal RNA", at positions 29 to 507 of the family's 1533-position model. The record is from RNAcentral.